Molecule: ribosomal RNA, 208 nt
Filed under: uncultured bacterium
Lineage: Bacteria
Description: partial 16S ribosomal RNA
Rfam family: Bacterial small subunit ribosomal RNA
Source: RNAcentral
GAUGAACGCUAGCGGCAGGCCUAACACAUGCAAGUCGAGGGGUAACAGAAUAGCUUGCUAUUGCUGACGACCGGCGCACGGGUGCGUAACGCGUAUACAAUCUACCUUAUACAGGAGGAUAGCCCUAAGAAAUUGGGAUUAAUACUCCAUAGUAAUUUGAAUUCGCAUGAAUUAGUUAAACUCGGUGUAUAAGAUGAGUAUGCGUGAU